CGCAGAGACGGCUGAGAGGCAGGAAACGCUUCUUGAGGAGACCGCAGAUAAGUUUUUCUGUUAAGAUAGGGAUUACUCUUAUUCUCUAGGAAUUAUAAAUUAGCGAAAAUACUGAGCUGUAGUUUUGAGUUAAAUUCGUGAGAGUAGAUCUGAUAAUUAAUAGGAAGGUCUUAUUUUAGGGGAAAAUGGAGACGUCCUUAAAAAAUAGUAUGAGAAAGGAAGAAAGAAGAAAAAAGAUAAUAUUAGAACAUGACGGAGGUUAAGAGCUGAAGCUUCUUCAUGGAGUGAGAAAGCUAAUUUUAAAAGGAGUUGCCGAGACAGGACUGCAAAGUAUGGAAUUUUAAAGUCUUAAAUUGAAGGGCAGCUUUUUAGAUUAUUGUUCAAACGUAAUGCUAUAAAUAGAACCUAAACAAUACUUUUAAAGUCCAGUCGUAGAUGGAUUAAAAUGUUUUAAAAGCCAUCUUUAAAGGUCAGUUGAAGGUGAUUUAAGAAAUGCCUUCAAAUUCACGGCGCGAUCAAAACUGCGUCAUUUGAAGCCUUAAGGCUUUCUUUGGAAGUUGAUGGAAGUAUUAGUGGAGAAAGAAGAUUAGAAAUUUGAAGUGGAAAACUCGGAAGACAAGUACAGGAAGGUGAAGAAAAGAUUAGUGAAGAUAGGAAAACUAGAAGAUAAAAAAUACGGCUUUUAGAAGACAGAAAAAAACUAAGCCCAGAAGGUAGGAGGCAGAAGACAUCUAGAAAGAGAAGGUUGAAAAGAUGUUCGAGUGUUUGAGGUAGAAAAUGAGAAACAAGCUGUUGGAGACAAGCAUACAAGAUAGAGGUCCAAGUAAUUGGAAGAUAGAAAAGUCCGAAGCCAAAAAAUUGGAUAAGUACAAGACGCAAAACUAAGAAAAAUAAUUUUUAAUAGUUAAAUUUAUUUAAAAAGCCCAUCAACUUUAAUUUGUGGUGGUGCAGAAGUUAGAUCUGAGAAGAGGGUUUUAAACUACAGUAGACCAAGACCAACUUAGAAGAAUAUCUCGAAGCUGUAGAGGGAAGUAAAUUUAAAAUCACAGCAAAAAGCUACUAAAAAGACUGAUGUAAAAAUUAAGGUAGACGGAAGAGUUAAAAAUUUGAAAGGCCUUAAAUCCAUACAGUAGUUUAGUUUCUUCUGGAAAACUUAAAGGACGAUAAAUUCAACAGCGAGGAUAACCAAGUUAACAUUUUUUGCAUUGGACUUUGAGCUAAGAUGAAUUUCUAAACCCUGAGGACUAGGCGCUAAUUAACAGCUGACCAGGUGCUACACAGAAGUGGAUUCAGAGAACCUAGGAAGACAGCAGCAGACAGGAUUCCAGGAGCCAGUUUUUGGUGAAACUAGGACUGAGGAGCGAGCGGCAGUUCGUGAAGAUAGGAAGGAGGAGCCCGGGAGCCAGUGCGAUUUGGUGAAGGAAGCUAGGAAGAAGGAAGGAGCCCUAACGGUUGGAGGUGAAGCUAGGAGAGGAUUCCAGGAAGGAGGAAGCCAGUGCGAUGUGGUGAUGAAGCUAGCGUGCGGCUUGGCGGCGUGGCUUGGCAACCCCGCGGAGGAGGCGAGCAGGCGGUGUGGAGGCUAGAUAGAGCGUCCUAGAGCGGCAGCCCAGUGUGCAAGGCCGGCAGGGAGAGCCAGUGGUGUGGUAAAAAUCCGUGAGGUCGGCAGUAUCGUGGGUUCUGCUUUGUUUCUUCACCUUUUUUUGGUAACAGUUUCUCUUUUUCAGGCGUAUUUUCUCAUCUUGUCUGAAGCUUUUGAGGGCAGACUACCAAGGCCCGGAGGAAUAGUAGAUGGCAAGUGUUUUCGUUUUUAACCAAUAUGAGGGAAAACAAAUGAAUUUGAUAGAACAACCUUGAGACAGUUUCAGCCAGCUUUGUAAGCAGGUUUUAUAUUUAGCUUGGUAAUGAAGCAUUUCCGUUUUGUGAGUAGAUGACUUAAUUUUCUUUCUCAUUCUCUAUUCUAAGUUACCUAUAUAUAUAUAGUUGGGUGUGUAAUUCGGGGGGGUAAAGGUUUUGGGGGGGCAAAAUAUGUUUUGAGUUCUUUUCCCCUUAGGUCUGUCUAGAAUUCCAAAGGCAAAUGACUCAAGGUAACAGGAAAAAAGAAAAUCCAGUAUCAGGAUAAUCAGAACACCACAGGUUUACAGUUUGUAGAAACUAGAACACGAGCAGCUCUCACUUAAGGUCUGUGAUGGAACUCCAGUGGAGAAAUGGCUGGUACUUUUUCCACCCCUUAAUCAGAUUUUUUUUUAAUUAAAGUAUGUAACCGGUUAUUUUUACUUGAAGUAUUUUGGGGUGGUCUUAACAGGGAAGAGGGUGGGGGAGAAAAUGUUUUUUUCUAAGACUUUCCACAGAUGCUAUAGUACUAUUGACAAACUGAGUUAGAGAAGGAUUGUACUGCUAUGCUGUUGGCACCAAACACCUUCAGGGAUUGGAGCUGCUUUUUUCCUUGGAGUAUUCCCAGUGAAGCUGAAAUAUACAGCACAGUGCAGCUUUGGUUCAUAUUCAGUCAUCUCAGGAGAACUUCAGAAGAGCUUGACUAGGCCAAAUAUUGAAGUUAAGUUUUCAAAUAAUGGAACUUUUUAAGAUGCCUUUUAAAGGGGAGGGGCAAGUUUUGGCAAUUAGUUGGCAGUGGCCUGUUUUGGUUGGGGUUGGGUGGGUUGGGUUUAGGUAAUUGUUUAGUUUAUGAUUUCAGAUAACUCAUGCCAGAGAACUUAAAUACUUAGGAUGGAAAAACUAAAGAAAUCUCACCUCCCAAGUUGGCAAGUAACUCCUGAUCCUCUAGUUUCUUGUUUUACCCCAAUUUUUGAACUGGACAGCUGGGAACUUCAAAGAUUCACUGGAUUUAAAGUGUAGGGCUUGGGAAAGGAAAGUGUUGGAUUGGGGGUUGGUCUAGCCCACUGGGUUGACCAAGAUAAAAACUUGGGGAAUUGUUUAAACACUAAAGUUGUUUGGAUAUGGUAGUGUGUGGUUCUCUUUUGGAAUUUUUUUCAGGUGAUUUAAUAAAACUUAAUACUACUAUAGGAGCUUCAGAGCAAAGGAAGUGGCUUAAUGAUCCUGAAGGGAUUUCUUCUGAUGGUAGCUUUUAUAUUAUCAAGUAAGAUUCUAUUUUCAGUUACAUAAGCAAGUUUUUUAGUAUAGGAAAUUUUUGUAUGGCUGCGAGACAAGAUGUAAAGGUAUGCUUCAAAAUUGUUGUAAAUUGUGUAUUGAAUUUGCACCUAAGUAUUUGUAAAUCAUAAUCAAUUAAAAGGGGUGGGUUUUUGUUGAUGGGGGGGAAACCUUUUUUUUCUGUAGACUUUUUUCAGAUAACAUCUUCUGAGUCAUACCCAGCCUGGCAAUAUGAUGGCCUAGAUGGAGAGGGGAACAGCUCCUUGGUGAAUGAUAAGUAAAGGCAGAAAAGAUUAUAUUUCAUACCUAUCUUCAUUGGGCAAAAGCAUAACUCUGAAAUCCUUACUACUGAUGAACUCAUGGUCUGCAUAUGCAAAAAAAAAAUUUAAGCAAAUGAAAGCUACCAAUUUAAAGUUAAUGGAAUCUACUCUUAAAGUUAUGGCAUAUCAAGCUGUAUCCACAAAAAUAAUGAAUCGAUGAGAAAUAAAAUAAUGAAAUGAUGAGAAAUACCAUGAAGAUCUAAUGCCCACCUCAAAAUACUGCUUUUACAAAAGCAGAAUAAAAAAUGAAAUGAAAUGAAAAUGAUAAAGCUACACAUUAACCCUGGAAUAAAAGAAGCUGAAAUAAUUGAAAGGAGUGGGAUCAAGUGGAUUGAGAGGAAGCUGUGCUGUUUGCCAAUCUUUCGUUUGCCUCAGACAGGUUUCUCUAUCAGAAGAGUUGCUUCAUAUCAUCUGGGAGCAGAAAACAGCAGGCAGCUGUUCACAGAUAAGUUUAACUUGCAUCUGCAGUAUUGCAUGUUAGGGAUAAGUGCUAUGUUUAAUAAGAGCUGUGGAGGUCCUAGGUCCCUUACUCAAGGGAUCUCAGGAUUUUGAGGAAUUUUCCCAUCCAGCCUUUUAAAAUGAGACAGGCCUUAUGCCUGUGGGCUUCCAUGAUGGGCUAACUCACUUCACUCGAGGCAAGUAAUUCCUUAAAGCCUCUUGAGAUUAAUACCUUAAUAAUCAAGGAUAAUGUUGAUAAAAUAAAAAUUUGUUUAGCAUUGAUUCUUGAAAACCCUAUGAAAAGAUAGCAUAAUGUGCUGUUAACCAGAAUCAGAUAUGUUAACCUUGCUAAAAUUUAAAUGUUAUGUGUAUUGUGCAGAAAACCGUAAAAUCACUCAAAAUAAAAUACUUUAUUUAGCGAAUGUAUGCUUUUAGAAAGCUGUCUCCUUAUUUAAAUAAAAUAUUGUUUGUCUGUAGUUAGUGUUGGGCAAUCUUGGGGGGAUUCUUCUCAUCUUUCAGAGACUUUGUCUGCGAACACUCUGUAAUGGACAAGAUCAGGAAUUGAGCUGAAGAACGAAUUUAACUUAAGGCAGGAAAGACAAAUUUUAUCCUUCGUAAAAUUGAUGACCAUUUAAUAAUUCCAGGCACAUGGCCAUAGAGACCCUCUAAAUAAAUAAGGAAUAAAUACUUAUUAGGCAGGUGGGAGAUUAUGAUCAGAAGAACAGGUAACUACACCUACGCAUUUUUCAGAAAGUCAGGAGUCGAAAUUGACAGUACUGAAGUAUAAUGCGGUCCACAUUUCCAAAGUUUGCAUGUUAAAUUGAAAUGCUUACCAUCUCAUCUAGUGUUAGCCAAUGCUUUACACUUAUUAGCCUUUUAUAUAGACACUUGGUGGGGGGCAUGUGGGUUUUUUAAAGAACUUUCCUUUGCAGAGGCUUCGUUUCAUCCUUCAUGAGGCUGUUCAGGAUUUUGACUUGCAUAUAAACGCUUGGCUCUGCCUUCUGUUCUCCUAGUGGGUGUGUGAGACCUUGCAGUGAGUUUUCAGCAUACUCAAGUAAAAAUUUUUUUCCCCCUGAUUUUGGAGGGAAGGGAGGAGAGGGUGGGGCUUACUUGUUUUAGCUUUUUUUUUGCAGACUACACAGAAUGCAGUUGUCUUGACCUCAGGUCUGUCUGUUCUGUUGGCAAGUAAUAAUGCAGUACUGUUCUGACCUGCUGCUAUUAGAAUGCAUUGUGAAACGACUGGAGUAUGAUUAAAAGUUAUGUUUCCCCCAAUGCUUGGAGUAGUGAUUGUUGAAGGAAAAUCCACUGAGUGAUAAAAGGCUGAGUGUUGAGGAAAUUUCUGCAGCUUUAAGCAUUCAUGUUUGUGAUUGAAGCAGUCCUUUUUGCUGUGCUUUAGGUAAAAUGCUUUUUGUUCACUUCUGGUAGGGGGGGUGGGGAGGGCACUGAAGCCUUUAGUCUUUUCCAGAUGCAACUUUAAAAUCAGUGACAAGAAAUAAGUUCCAAACGAACAACAGACUUCAAGAAGUUUAACUGGCAAGUGGAAACGUUUUAACAUCAGUUCAGUGGUCUUAGUGCAUUGUGUGUGCAGGUUUCUCUCUUCCCUCCCUUGGUCUCAAUUCUUAUACACAGGAACAUUCAGAACAACAGAUGAAGGGCCAGAGAAGCCAGACCCAGUAAGGAAAAAAAAA
RNAcentral lists this long non-coding RNA (5548 nucleotides) under Sus scrofa (pig). RNAcentral describes it as "lncRNA (ENSSSCG00065036687.1)". The stretch from base 3592 to 3687 matches the Rfam family "Metastasis associated lung adenocarcinoma transcript 1". Lineage: Eukaryota; Metazoa; Chordata; Mammalia; Artiodactyla; Suidae. The record is from RNAcentral.